This is a long non-coding RNA of Apis mellifera (honey bee), 3564 nucleotides long. RefSeq lists it as uncharacterized. NCBI's taxonomy places the organism in Eukaryota, Metazoa, Arthropoda, Insecta, Hymenoptera, Apidae. The record is from RefSeq and is a predicted model, not a curated record. The transcript has 2 exons.
ACUGUCCCUCGUUCCUCGCGAUGGGACACCAUCGCGAUGAAUAGGCGAUAAUUGAAACGGUCGAUGUUGCAAGAAGCGGCCGGCCGGCCAUCGCAUCAGGGUCAGCAACGAGGAAGCGUGCUGCGGUGGAAAAGAAGGGAAAAGGAGAGAGGAGGAAAGAAACGAGGAGGGACGAUCCUCUCCUCCCCCUCUCUCUUCGGUUGCAUAAUCCCGAUUUCGAUCCCCCUCGAUCGGCCGUCGUUCUUGUCUCGGGGUCAGCGUGCUUCGAAGAAAAUCACUUUCCUUCCCAUAGAAGCUACGUAUAUACAUACACAUAUACAUAUAUAUAUAUAUAAUAUACCGCGACCGCUCAUCGAGCAUACGUGCAUACGUGCACGUAAAAUAUACACUCGACGCGCACGCGCACAGACACGCGUAACUGCUCGCUCGCUCGCUCGCUCGCUUGGCUGGCUGGGUUGGCUGGCUGUGGAGAGCGGCGGAGCGCGUGCACCGAUUCUUCCUUCCUCCUCCUGCUCUUCCUGGUUUCUCAGCUCGUUACGAGGCAACCGACAAAUUAUCGGUGCCUCCCUUGCGCUCCCUUCCCUUCGUUGUGUUCGACGUGAUACACCAGAAGAGGGGAGGGGAGGGAGGGAAGGAUAGGGAAGGACGGAGGAACGACAGCACGAAAUCUCGGAUGCGCCUAGUAAACGCAGGCCUCCGCGUUUAUACUUUCACUUCCUUUCCACCUCGCAGCGGAGAGAGCUUCCCAUCUUUCUCCCCCUUCGACUCGUCCACCGAGUCUCGCUCCCUCCGGAUCUCUCGGACAUAGAACUACUUUUCCUUUCAAACCCUUGGACCGAGGGUAUAUUAUCCCGCACCGAAUCCAUCCAUUUCCUACUUUCCACACGCUGUUUGUAUUUAAUCAUUCCAUCGAUUUCCAUAAUUUCUCUCUUCUUCCUCCCUUCCUUUCCAUUCGAAUUCAGGCGUGGGACGAAUAGGUGUCGCGUCCAUCAGUGGCUAUUGCCGGUCGAUCACUGAACGAGGAGGACUCGAGGAGGCAGUUGGAGGAGGGAGAAGGAAGAAUGAAAGAGGGAAACGUGGCGUGACCUUUCCGCCGCGCGAGGAGGAGGAGAGGAGCGGCGCAGUCUGCGCGGAGCAUUGGCGAGGAGCCGGGCGAGGGAGCAAGGGUAGCCGAGGAGGGGUGGCGAGGAGGGGAUGAAAGAACGAGGCACGAGGUAGCGGCGGUGUUGUUCGUGAGCAGGGAACAAGGAGACUGCCGAAGAGAGGAGGCGGACCAGGAUGUUUCGCGCGUGUCGCUUUCGCGUGAUAUACGCGGAGACGAAGAAGAAGAAGAAGAAGAAGAAGAGGACGUUGACGUUAGACCCAUAAUAACAACUACAACAUAAACCACCGAUUCUUUGACUUGACAACUUUCGCUUCAAUUGGACAGGUACAUAAGGCGAAAGGGAAGAAUAAGGAGGGACAAGGAGGAAUGGAGGAAUCGAGGAUAGAAGUAACAAUGAAAGAGAAAAGGAAAAAGGAUAUGCGAUUGAUGGAGAAAAAUCAUCGAUAAGUAAAUUCAAGAUAAAUGAAAAGACACAAAGUAGCAAAUGAGUAUCUGGGAAAGGAUGCUGAAAAAAGGAAAAAGGAGAAAGAAACGUUGAUGUCAGCAACAACGAUCGACAACGAUUAAUAAGCGCUAAGACGAAAAGGAAGAAGAGGAAGAAGAAGAAGAGGAGGAGAAAGAGAAUAGGAGAUGAAAAAGAAGGUGGUGGACGUGUCGAGGAAAAGGAGACAAGAAGAAACGUGGAAACAAGAAAGCGAGGAGGGUCCCGAUGAUAGAGACAACUCUCCACCGCGGUGGAACGAGCGCGAAGGAGCAUGCAGAGGAAGAGACUGCGAAGGAAGGCUGCAGAAGGCGGGUUGGCGAGUAGUGGAGCGGGCCGGUGGGGCGGAGAGAGGAGGGCAGAGGAGGUGAGUCGAGAUGAUGCAGUUGUGCGUUUGCAAGGAAGGCGGAAGGAGGAACCGCGGAGGGAACCGGUCCCGGUCACUGGGCCACCAGCCGGCCGUCGAACCCGCCAUACUGCCCCCUACCACCCCCUACCCCACCUUUUCCUCGCCAUCUUUCUGUCCCUCUUCGCUCUUCCUCGCGUCUCUGCCUCGCGGCCUGUCUCCGUCUCGCUUCCUUCGCUCUCCCUCUGCCGCCUCCUCCUCCCACUCCUCCUCCUCCUCCGCUCCCUUGGAGGAAAGCGUGCCUCCAUCGCGAAACCUCUUUCUCAAUUCGUCGACGAACGCGACGAAAAUGACGAAGCACAAAAUUGACCACGAGGAUGAAAACGAAGGAACGAAGAAGACAAAGAGGAAAACAAGGAUGAAAGAUGGCACGACAAAGAAGAUGAUUACUCUUAGAUACCUCCUUCCUCCUCCUCCUCCUCUUCUUCUUCGAGUUCUUCAAACAAUGUCAACCGGCGUGUGCGGCAUUGUAUGCGCCGAUAAUGCCACCGGUGGCCACCAUGUUUACCGGCCCGAGGCUAUAUGCUAGAGGAGACUACGGUUCCCGCCGUGACCGACGUUUUCGCGUGUCUCCUCGUCCCCUCCGAAGAUCGCACGCUUUUAACGGUGAGAAUGAACACGGAUCGGAUGGACGAUGCCUGCUCGGAUCCUGUCCCGGAUGAACUUGCCGUUUAAAUAGGCGAACAGUGGAACGGUACGAUGAUUAUUCGCGAUAUAAUGGUAAAUUUAAAACGGUAAUUUUUGUUGGAAUAUCACUUUUGGGUAUAUAUAAUUUUCCUUUCGAAUUUCGUGAUUGGAUUUUGAAACGUAUUUCGAAAAAUUAUAAAAAUUGCUUGAAAAUCGCUCGAUCGAGUUUUAGCGGAGAUCCAUAAUCUUGGAAAAACUUGGAAUCGUUUUUUUUAUCAUCCACACGAUUCGAAUUAGAUAAGGAUAAUCUCGGUUGAAACGUCGAUGGGCGAGCGCGUGUGCAAACACGGCCGAUAUAUCGAAGCGGUGAAAAGGAACGGAGACACGGGCACGGUCGUUCGCGUGGAAGAAUGGAGGAAUUAGUUUUGGAUCGGGCUUUCGAUCGUGAGAGAGCAGGCGAGCAGGUAGCGCAAACGGAAGCUUAGUACUCGUACACGGUAAUCUCGCCGAGAUACGCCAAACAUUUUCUCUUAAUUAAGAAAGGACGUGGCCGUAAUUAAGUUUCCCUUCCACGUUAUUCUCCUGCUCGUUUCAAGCCGUGCCGCGCGUUACGCCGUCAAAACUGAGUGUUCAGUGGCUUCGAACGAUGACUUCUGCUUUUCAUUAACCACUCUAAUUCGUCAAAUACUGCAAUAGUUCUCUUAUACGGUUAUUAUAUAUCGUAUUUUUCUCGUUUUCUCGUUCGAAGAUCGAUUCUAGAAGCCAAAAAAAAAAAGCACAAAAGUUUGUAUACAAAAAUGUGAGCUCGAGCUUUAUUUAAGAAGAAUGUAAGUUUGCGCUGGAUAAAGCGAGAAAACAAGACUCUAUUUGUAUCUCAUUUUGUCUAAUUUAUCUAAACUUCAAUUGCUUAUAACUUAUAUAACUUAAUAAAUACGCUUUGAUCAA